Molecule: long non-coding RNA, 1697 nt
Filed under: Homo sapiens (human)
Lineage: Eukaryota; Metazoa; Chordata; Mammalia; Primates; Hominidae
Description: HSALNT0373182
Source: RNAcentral
AACUGGACCUGUGCCUUUAUAAAACCUCAAACACUGCAAAGGUUCAUGAAACAAUGUAUAUCUAUUCUUCUUAUUCACUGUCAUCAAUGCUGACCAGGGAAAAUUGCACAGGUGCACGUGUGUGUGUGUGUGUGUAGGGCUAGUGAAGCAGGCAACUACCAGAGAUACAUUAUUAAAAAGCUAACAUUUAUUGGCCAGGCGCGGUGGCUUACGUCUGUAAUCCCAGCACUCUCACGGGUGGUGCCUCCCCGGCAAUGGGGGUCCCAAGAUCCAGGGGGGGAAAAGGGGAUGGCUCUCAGCCACCACAAAAUGGGGGGCCUUUAUGUUCAGGUUUUGCCCAAGAGUCAGCUUAUUUGCUUCUUGUACUAGCAGGGCAGUUGCUGCCAAGGCCUCAAACAGGGGAGCCAUCCUUCAGAAACCCUGUCUAGUUGUUCAGAGACGUAGGCCACCGGCCUCAGCCAGGGCCCCACAGUUUGGGUUAAAAGUCCAGCUGCCAUCUUUUCUCUCUCUAACGCAUACAAUGGAAAAGGCUUUGUCAGAUCGGGUAGCCCCAGGGCUGGGGCUGCCAGAAGUUUUUCCUUUAAGUCAUGAAAGACUUGCUGUUCUUGGAUCCCCAUUCCAAAGGUUCCGGUCCCCGCCCCCUUUGUGACCUCAUACAAAGGCUUGGCUAAUACUGCAAAGUUUGGGAUCCACAGUCUACAAAACCCCACAUCCCCUGAGAAUUCUCUCGCCUGCCUUAGGCACUUAGGCUCCGGGAGAUUGCAAAUAACCUGCUUUCUUUCUGUUCCCGGGCUGCGUUCGGACUCCUGUCAGAUAGUAAAUCCUAAGUAAGGUGGCGUCGGACCCCUGUCAGAGAGUAAAUCUCAAGUAAGGUACCUGCCAUCGGCAGAUUUGAGCUUUCUUCUUGGACACCUAAUACCCACAGUCCUCCAGGCUCCGGUAGACUGCAAAUGACCUGCUUUCUUUCUGUUCCCGGGCUGCGUUUGGACCCCUGUCGGACAGUAAAUCCCAAGUAAGGAAUGGAACAGAUAAGAAGAUACUGAAAUUGGACGGUGCUGCCGUGCGGCUGCCGCAGGACACCUUUAAUAUCCCUGUUUCUCAGGCUGUAGAUGAAGGGGUUCAGCAUGGAGGUGAUCACCGUGUACAUCACUGAGGCCACUGCAGCCUUUCUCGGGGAAGAUGACACAUCUGAACUGAGGUACCCUCCAAAGCCUGUUCCGUAAAAUCAGCAAACAACUGACAGGAUAACUUCAGGAAGUGGGUAUUAAUUCUCACGGUAUAAGUGAAGACAUUAAGCACCAGAGUUUAAGUAGCUUGAUCCACUGAAAGAGAUUCAACUGUGUGGAACCUAUGCCGUGGAGAAUUGCUUUCUGCCAUUGUUAUCGUCCAGCAGUUGCCGAAUAGCUCUGACCUGAGCAAAGCAGUGAAACGCGGUGCUGUUGAGUGGGUUGCCACUGCACCUUUUUCAACUACUCUAGUCUUGUGGAGAAAAUACCCCUUCUAAAUUUUUUCUUCAUUGAAUACUCUCCCUCAGCUCCAGAGUACCAUAUAGAGUUUUCUUGUAUUUUAGAGUUACUGUUUUAUCAAAGUUUACCAGUCUUUUGUAUUACAUUUCUCCUGUCUAAAUCGACUGUGUGGUUUCUACUCAUUAUGGAUAUAGAUUGAUACAAACUCAAUAAAUAUUUUUGAAUGAAUAA